RNAcentral lists this long non-coding RNA (1127 nucleotides) under Homo sapiens (human). RNAcentral's name for it is "HSALNT0009166". The record is from RNAcentral. Lineage: Eukaryota; Metazoa; Chordata; Mammalia; Primates; Hominidae.
CUAUGGCUUAGUAUACAGGAUUAUAAGAAGAUGCUGCUAUGGGCUGAAUGUUUGUGCACUCCCACUCCCAAAAUUUCCAUGUUGAAGCCUAUUCUCCAAUGUGAUGAUAUUUGGAGGUGGGGCCUUUGAGAGAUAAUUAGCUCAUGAGGGUGGAGCCUAAAUGAAUGGGAUCAAUACCCUUUUCAAAAGAGGAGGAAGCGUGGGAUUCAAGUAAGAGGAUGACAUCCCUAAACCAGGAAGCAGGCCCUCACAAAACACCGGAUCUGCCAGCACCAGUGAUCUUGGACUUCUCAGUCUCCAGAACUGUGAGAAAUAAAUGCUUGUUUCAGCCACCCAGUUUAUGGAUUAAAUUUCUGCCAAGAAGUACAUGGUGACAAAGAACAGACACUCCAGAGACAGACCCUUUGGCUUCUAACCUGCCUUUCCCACUUAAUGGAGGCAUGACCUUGGAAUAAAUCCUACCUGCAGAAGUCUGGGGGCACCAUGCCAUAAACAUUGAUCCUGUCACAGAGCUCCAGUGCAAUUGUCAUUGUAAACCAGCCAGUGCUGAGCCAAGUGUUGGAUAUCUUCCUGGAAGGAACAAUAAUUAAGUCUGCAAGCUGGCUAUAUAUUCAUAAGACCUUUGAGACUGAAGGAGCUGGAAUGGAGAAGAGCUGACUGAAUGGCAAAGGCUUGGAGCAGGCUACAGGUAAAGAAUAUUAAGUCAAUAGAGUAUUGGCUUCUUUAAGACUGUUUCCCGAAGGCAAGAGGCACAAAGUUUCUGGAAGCAGCAGUGUACUCUGGCAUCCUCCACAUUCAUAAGUGUGAUUCCCCUGAGUAGGGACUACGUGGACCCUGGCAGAUGGAUGUCUGUGGAAAGAGUCCCACCAGCCACUCCACAAAGCUUUGGCUCCCUCCGUACCAGCCAGGACGACCAGGAAGAAAGACCUGUCAGCUUGAGCAGCCCAGUCACGCAGAGGACCCUACAAGUGAACUCUAGCAAUGACAUGAGCAGUGGAGCCCACAACAAAAGCCUGUAGCAAAAGCUUUGCUUUGGGUGAGUCAGCCAGUGAUGACUUAUCCUCACCCUCCCCUGCAUCUUCUUCCCUGUGCCUUUGUACCUGUCUUUGCCAGUCUCCUGCUUGAAG